This is a long non-coding RNA of Beta vulgaris subsp. vulgaris (sugar beet), 377 nucleotides long. RefSeq lists it as uncharacterized. The transcript is spliced from 4 exons. The record is from RefSeq and is a predicted model, not a curated record. NCBI's taxonomy places the organism in Eukaryota, Viridiplantae, Streptophyta, Magnoliopsida, Caryophyllales, Amaranthaceae.
GACUAUUAAAUUAAAAAAAUAUCAUUAGAUUGUUCAUCCCAAAAAAUUAAAAAAACCCUAAGCUGUUCCAUUGCGGUUCCUUCUGAGCUUCUUCACUCGCAAACUCCUAUGUUCAUCCGAAUUCCUCCAAUUGGAGAUCGUUUGUUCAGAUUAUCUGAGUGAGGUUUCUUGGACUAGAUUCAGGGCAUCUGUUUCAGGGAAAUUAGCAAAUCAGAGAGAAGGAUGAACAAGUUCGCUUGAAGACGAAGGAUAACAGACGAUUUCCAGGGGAUUAGCAGCGAGGCGACUCGUGAUUGGGCAAAACUAAUCGUAGCAAUGGCAUGUGGAGGAGAUCCUUACGUGAAGCUUGAGUUGGAAUGAUAUGGACUAACAUUGCG